UACCAGGCCUCUGGAGAACAUCAGGACAUGUUGAGGAGAUAAUUUAGCCAUUUAAAUCAGCUGUGUUGGUUCAAGGACACAUGUAAAACCUGCAGGGACACCGGCCCUCGGUGCCCACCCCUGAUCUAAGCCAACCUCACCAUGCCAUCCAUUCAGCAUCAUGUACAACGGAGCUGGCGGAUUAGGUCCUCUGCCCUGGACUACGAGCCUGGGAAAAAGUAAAACUCAAGCUACCUUCAUUCCUUCACAUCCACCCGAUGUUUCAUGUUUCCAAUACAACAAACCCGCUCCUUUGAGCCCAUUGCCCUUCCUGCCUCUCUGCUCAUCUUAAAACCCUGCAAAAGGUCACAAUCAGCCUCUUGGAUCAUUCUCAGCACAGUUCUCUCCUUCACCGUCCUGCUAAACAAGCUCUCUGAUGGGUGAUCCAGUGGUGAUGUAAGAGUGUAGAGUAUGGUGAGAAGACCAUGGAGGAGGCUCUGAAGAAAGUUGAGCAAAUGGAGGCUAAUCUUGGAGGAACAGAAAUCCUGGAGCCCCUCAAACAUAUUUACAGCCAGCCCUGCAUUCCCACUCAGCCCAGACAG
Molecule: long non-coding RNA, 581 nt
Organism: Oreochromis aureus
Lineage: Eukaryota; Metazoa; Chordata; Actinopteri; Cichliformes; Cichlidae
Source: Ensembl